CCCUUAGAUGUCCUGGGCCGCACGCGCGCUACACUGACAUGUUCAACAAGUUUCUCCUAGUUCGACAGGACUGGGAAAUCUUUGAACGCAUGUCGUGAUAGGGAUAGAUCAUUGCAAUUAUUGAUCUUGAACGAGGAAUUCCUAGUAAACGCGAGUCAUCAGCUCGCAUUGAUUACGUCUCUGCCCUUUGUACACACCGCCCGUCGCACCUACCGAUUGAAUGUUUCGGUGAAGAUUCCGGAUAGGACUGAUUUGAUUUAUUUCAUUUCUGACCUAAAAGCUAUCUAAACCUCAACAUUUAGAGGAAGGUGAAGUCGUAACA
This 322-nucleotide ribosomal RNA is filed under the name uncultured eukaryote. RNAcentral describes it as "partial 18S ribosomal RNA". It matches the Rfam family "Eukaryotic small subunit ribosomal RNA", at positions 1470 to 1796 of the family's 1831-position model. The record is from RNAcentral.